UUAUCAACUUUCGAUGGUAGGAUAGAGGCCUNCCAUGGUGNUACCGGGUAACGGGGUGUUAGGNCACGACACCGGNGAGGGAGCCUGAGAAACGGCUNCCNCAUCCAAGGAUGGCAGCAGGCGCGCAAAUUACCCAAUCCCGNCACGGGGAGGUAGUGCCAAUAAAUAACAAUACGGGGUUCUUUCGGAUCUCGUAAUUGGAANGAGUCCAAUUUAAAUCUCUUANCGAGGANCAAUUGGAGGGCAAGUCUGGUGCCANCAGCCGCGGUAAUUCCAGCUCCAAUAGCGUAUAUUAAAGUUGUUNCAGUUAAAAAGCUCGUAGUUGAAUUUCGGGGUUAGUAGGUUGGUCAUNCCUCUGGUAUGUACUGGUCUCACNGAUUCCNCCUNCCUGAUGANCCGUAAUNCCAUUAAUUUGGUGUUGCGGGGAAUUUGGACUGUUNCUUUGAAAAGAUUAGAGUGUUUAAANCAAGCUAACGCUUGAAUNCAUUANCAUGGAAUAAUGAAAUAGGNCGUUCGAUCCUAUUUUGUUGGUUUCUAGGAUUGUCGUAAUGAUUAAUAGGGAUAGUNGGGGNCAUUAGUAUUCAAUUGUCAGAGGUGAAAUUCUUGGAUUUAUUGAAGACUAACUACUGCGAAANCAUUUNCCAAGGAUGUUUNCAUUAAUCAAGAACGAAAGUUAGGGGAUCGAAGACGAUCAGAUNCCGUCGUAGUCUUANCCAUAAACUAUNCCGACCUAGGGAUCGGAUGAUGUUAAUUUUUAAUGACUCAUUCGGCGCCUUACCGGGAAACCAAAGUGUUUGG
This 798-nucleotide ribosomal RNA is filed under the name uncultured Rhizophagus. RNAcentral describes it as "partial 18S ribosomal RNA". It matches the Rfam family "Eukaryotic small subunit ribosomal RNA", at positions 312 to 1110 of the family's 1831-position model. Lineage: Eukaryota; Fungi; Glomeromycota; Glomeromycetes; Glomerales; Glomeraceae. The record is from RNAcentral.